RNAcentral lists this ribosomal RNA (475 nucleotides) under Lacticaseibacillus paracasei. Its description in RNAcentral is "bacterial SSU rRNA". It matches the Rfam family "Bacterial small subunit ribosomal RNA", at positions 28 to 475 of the family's 1533-position model. The record is from RNAcentral. Lineage: Bacteria; Bacillati; Bacillota; Bacilli; Lactobacillales; Lactobacillaceae.
GAUGAACGCUGGCGGCGUGCCUAAUACAUGCAAGUCGAACGAGUUCUCGUUGAUGAUUGGUGCUUGCACCGAGAUUCAACAUGGAACGAGUGGCGGACGGGUGAGUAACACGUGGGUAACCUGCCCUUAAGUGGGGGAUAACAUUUGGAAACAGAUGCUAAUACCGCAUAGAUCCAAGAACCGCAUGGUUCUUGGCUGAAAGAUGGCGUAAGCUAUCGCUUUUGGAUGGACCCGCGGCGUAUUAGCUAGUUGGUGAGGUAACGGCUCACCAAGGCGAUGAUACGUAGCCGAACUGAGAGGUUGAUCGGCCACAUUGGGACUGAGACACGGCCCAAACUCCUACGGGAGGCAGCAGUAGGGAAUCUUCCACAAUGGACGCAAGUCUGAUGGAGCAACGCCGCGUGAGUGAAGAAGGCUUUCGGGUCGUAAAACUCUGUUGUUGGAGAAGAAUGGUCGGCAGAGUAACUGUUGCCGG